AAAAGACACAGGAAAAACCGUCUUUGCAUGCGGAAAAGAAUGUGAAAGGGGAUGUACAGACAAGGCGUAUAAAGAGGGCAAGCUUAAGGACGAGAGCAAGGAACUUAAGGAAGAGGAGAAGGAACUUUGGGCCUUUCAGAAAAAACAAGUUAAGGAGUAUAUGGACAUGCGUUGCAAGGACUUUGAGAAUAAGCAAUGUAAGGACGACGACAAGGAAUGUAAGGACGAGGCGAAGUUCUGUAAGGACAUGCAUAUGGCCUUUAAGGAAGAGAACAAGCAGCUUAAGGAUGAGGACAAGCUUCUUAAGGACGACAAUAAGCUAGUUAAGGAUGAGGAAAAAA
Molecule: long non-coding RNA, 341 nt
Organism: Ipomoea nil (Japanese morning glory)
Lineage: Eukaryota; Viridiplantae; Streptophyta; Magnoliopsida; Solanales; Convolvulaceae
Exons: 2
Source: RefSeq, a predicted model, not a curated record